GAUGAACGCUAGCUACAGGCUUAACACAUGCAAGUCGCGGGGCAGCAUGUAUCUGGCUUGCCAGAUACGAUGGCGACCGGCGCACGGGUGAGUAACGCGUAUCCAACCUGCCCAUAACCACGGCACAGCCCGUCGAAAGGCGGAUUAAUGCCGUAUGAGGUUCCAGAGUAGCAUUAUUAUGGAACGAAAGGAUUGGCGGUUAUGGAUGGGGAUGCGUCCGAUUAGCUAGUUGGCGGGGUAACGGCCCACCAAGGCGACGAUCGGUAGGGGUUCUGAGAGGAAGGUCCCCCACACUGGAACUGAGACACGGUCCAGACUCCUAACGGGAGGCAGCAGUGAGGAAUA
Molecule: ribosomal RNA, 345 nt
Filed under: uncultured bacterium
Lineage: Bacteria
Description: bacterial SSU rRNA
Rfam family: Bacterial small subunit ribosomal RNA
Source: RNAcentral